AUGGAUGAGGCAAUUGAGCCCUACACAACAAGCAUAUUUAAUGCAUCAAGGUUGUUAGGCACAAUUGUUCAUGUAGAACCAUCUGCUAAACUUACUGUGACUUCCUUUCCAGGAUUCUCCAUGGAAUCUUCGAACAGAUCAAUGGAUAAAGCAAAAGAACGUCCAUACGGGGCUCUGUCAGGCCUGCUGCUUCAGGUCGUCCUCCCCAAGAGUGUGAGAAGAAGCUGCUGCUGCAGAAUGUACCGCACGCUAUAUACUCAUGGGUCUUCAGGACAGAGAUGGGAGGCUCUUCUACAAGCUUGUGAUCGACAUCGGGGAGCUGCAUAUCCUUAUUUAUAG
Molecule: ribosomal RNA, 339 nt
Filed under: Triticum aestivum (bread wheat)
Lineage: Eukaryota; Viridiplantae; Streptophyta; Magnoliopsida; Poales; Poaceae
Description: partial small subunit ribosomal RNA
Source: RNAcentral